This 2713-nucleotide ribosomal RNA is filed under the name Pseudomonas aeruginosa. Its description in RNAcentral is "partial 23S ribosomal RNA". It matches the Rfam family "Bacterial large subunit ribosomal RNA". Lineage: Bacteria; Pseudomonadati; Pseudomonadota; Gammaproteobacteria; Pseudomonadales; Pseudomonadaceae. The record is from RNAcentral. RNAcentral also lists the same sequence under 1 other name.
CGAACCAGGGGAACUGAAACAUCUAAGUACCCUGAGGAAAAGAAAUCAACCGAGAUUCCCUUAGUAGUGGCGAGCGAACGGGGAUUAGCCCUUAAGCUUCAUUGAUUUUAGCGGAACGCUCUGGAAAGUGCGGCCAUAGUGGGUGAUAGCCCCGUACGCGAAAGGAUCUUUGAAGUGAAAUCGAGUAGGACGGAGCACGAGAAACUUUGUCUGAACAUGGGGGGACCAUCCUCCAAGGCUAAAUACUACUGACUGACCGAUAGUGAACCAGUACCGUGAGGGAAAGGCGAAAAGAACCCCGGAGAGGGGAGUGAAAUAGAACCUGAAACCGUAUGCGUACAAGCAGUGGGAGCCUACUUGUUAGGUGACUGCGUACCUUUUGUAUAAUGGGUCAGCGACUUAUAUUCAGUGGCAAGCUUAACCGUAUAGGGUAGGCGUAGCGAAAGCGAGUCUUAAUAGGGCGUUUAGUCGCUGGGUAUAGACCCGAAACCGGGCGAUCUAUCCAUGAGCAGGUUGAAGGUUAGGUAACACUGACUGGAGGACCGAACCCACUCCCGUUGAAAAGGUAGGGGAUGACUUGUGGAUCGGAGUGAAAGGCUAAUCAAGCUCGGAGAUAGCUGGUUCUCCUCGAAAGCUAUUUAGGUAGCGCCUCAUGUAUCACUCUGGGGGGUAGAGCACUGUUUCGGCUAGGGGGUCAUCCCGACUUACCAAACCGAUGCAAACUCCGAAUACCCAGAAGUGCCGAGCAUGGGAGACACACGGCGGGUGCUAACGUCCGUCGUGAAAAGGGAAACAACCCAGACCGCCAGCUAAGGUCCCAAAGUUGUGGUUAAGUGGUAAACGAUGUGGGAAGGCUUAGACAGCUAGGAGGUUGGCUUAGAAGCAGCCAUCCUUUAAAGAAAGCGUAAUAGCUCACUAGUCGAGUCGGCCUGCGCGGAAGAUGUAACGGGGCUCAAACCACACACCGAAGCUGCGGGUGUCACGUAAGUGACGCGGUAGAGGAGCGUUCUGUAAGCCUGUGAAGGUGAGUUGAGAAGCUUGCUGGAGGUAUCAGAAGUGCGAAUGCUGACAUGAGUAACGACAAUGGGUGUGAAAAACACCCACGCCGAAAGACCAAGGGUUCCUGCGCAACGUUAAUCGACGCAGGGUUAGUCGGUUCCUAAGGCGAGGCUGAAAAGCGUAGUCGAUGGGAAACAGGUUAAUAUUCCUGUACUUCUGGUUACUGCGAUGGAGGGACGGAGAAGGCUAGGCCAGCUUGGCGUUGGUUGUCCAAGUUUAAGGUGGUAGGCUGAAAUCUUAGGUAAAUCCGGGGUUUCAAGGCCGAGAGCUGAUGACGAGUCGUCUUUUAGAUGACGAAGUGGUUGAUGCCAUGCUUCCAAGAAAAGCUUCUAAGCUUCAGGUAACCAGGAACCGUACCCCAAACCGACACAGGUGGUCGGGUAGAGAAUACCAAGGCGCUUGAGAGAACUCGGGUGAAGGAACUAGGCAAAAUGGCACCGUAACUUCGGGAGAAGGUGCGCCGGCUAGGGUGAAGGAUUUACUCCGUAAGCUCUGGCUGGUCGAAGAUACCAGGCCGCUGCGACUGUUUAUUAAAAACACAGCACUCUGCAAACACGAAAGUGGACGUAUAGGGUGUGACGCCUGCCCGGUGCCGGAAGGUUAAUUGAUGGGGUUAGCGCAAGCGAAGCUCUUGAUCGAAGCCCCGGUAAACGGCGGCCGUAACUAUAACGGUCCUAAGGUAGCGAAAUUCCUUGUCGGGUAAGUUCCGACCUGCACGAAUGGCGUAACGAUGGCGGCGCUGUCUCCACCCGAGACUCAGUGAAAUUGAAAUCGCUGUGAAGAUGCAGUGUAUCCGCGGCUAGACGGAAAGACCCCGUGAACCUUUACUGUAGCUUUGCACUGGACUUUGAGCCUGCUUGUGUAGGAUAGGUGGGAGGCUUUGAAGCGUGGACGCCAGUUCGCGUGGAGCCAUCCUUGAAAUACCACCCUGGCAUGCUUGAGGUUCUAACUCUGGUCCGUGAUCCGGAUCGAGGACAGUGUAUGGUGGGCAGUUUGACUGGGGCGGUCUCCUCCUAAAGAGUAACGGAGGAGUACGAAGGUGCGCUCAGACCGGUCGGAAAUCGGUCGCAGAGUAUAAAGGCAAAAGCGCGCUUGACUGCGAGACAGACACGUCGAGCAGGUACGAAAGUAGGUCUUAGUGAUCCGGUGGUUCUGUAUGGAAGGGCCAUCGCUCAACGGAUAAAAGGUACUCCGGGGAUAACAGGCUGAUACCGCCCAAGAGUUCAUAUCGACGGCGGUGUUUGGCACCUCGAUGUCGGCUCAUCACAUCCUGGGGCUGAAGCCGGUCCCAAGGGUAUGGCUGUUCGCCAUUUAAAGUGGUACGCGAGCUGGGUUUAGAACGUCGUGAGACAGUUCGGUCCCUAUCUGCCGUGGACGUUUGAGAUUUGAGAGGGGCUGCUCCUAGUACGAGAGGACCGGAGUGGACGAACCUCUGGUGUUCCGGUUGUCACGCCAGUGGCAUUGCCGGGUAGCUAUGUUCGGAAAAGAUAACCGCUGAAAGCAUCUAAGCGGGAAACUUGCCUCAAGAUGAGAUCUCACUGGGAACUUGAUUCCCCUGAAGGGCCGUCGAAGACUACGACGUUGAUAGGCUGGGUGUGUAAGCGUUGUGAGGCGUUGAGCUAACCAGUACUAAUUGCCCGUGAGGCUUGACCAU